GCCAGGCAUGGUGGCAAGUGCCUAUGUAGUCCCAGCUACUUGGGAGGCUGAGGUGGGAAGAUCGCUUGAGCCCAGGCGUUCUGGGCUGUAGUGAGCUAUGCCAAUUGGGUGUCCGCACUAAGUUAUGCAUCACUAUGGUGACCUCCUGGGAGCCAGGGACCCCCAGGUUGAAGGAGAGGUGAACCAGCCCAGGUCAGAAAUGGAGCAGGUCAAAACUUCCGUGCUGAUCAAUAGUGGGAUUGCGCCUGUGAGUAGCCACUGCACUGUGGCCUGAGAGACAUAGUGAGACCCCGGUGUCUCUU
Molecule: unclassified non-coding RNA, 302 nt
Organism: Callithrix jacchus (white-tufted-ear marmoset)
Lineage: Eukaryota; Metazoa; Chordata; Mammalia; Primates; Cebidae
Rfam family: Metazoan signal recognition particle RNA
About the family: The signal recognition particle (SRP) is a universally conserved ribonucleoprotein. It is involved in the co-translational targeting of proteins to membranes. The eukaryotic SRP consists of a 300-nucleotide 7S RNA and six proteins: SRPs 72, 68, 54, 19, 14, and 9.
Source: Ensembl